GUAACCGACCCCUCCUGGAGCUGGGGUUUUAUUUCUCUUUAUUUAAACAUGUUUAAGCACAAACAUGUGGAAUCGUGGAAUGAAGAGCGCGACUGGCAGGUUGAUCAAGAUCCUGACACCACAACCUGGGCUAAAACGAAACUGCACCAUAUGGCUAAAAACUUUGCCAACUGUGUCUGCUGGGCACCUGACCAAGAUGAGUUUUCGCUGUGGCGGUGGCAGAGACGUGUUUUUAAAUGUUUUUGUGGGUGAACGGUCCCACUAAGAUGAGGGAAGCACUAAGAUUAUUGAACGUUAUCGGAAGCCGUGACAGCACCACAUUCUGUCGAAAUAGAUCUACUGAUUAACUGUUUUAUUUGUUGUUGUUAUUGUUUAGGGCGAAUUGCUGAAU
This is a long non-coding RNA of Trichomycterus rosablanca, 391 nucleotides long. RefSeq lists it as uncharacterized. The record is from RefSeq and is a predicted model, not a curated record. The transcript has 3 exons. Lineage: Eukaryota; Metazoa; Chordata; Actinopteri; Siluriformes; Trichomycteridae.